UACAGAGGUGGCAAGCGUUGUUCGGAUUUACUGGGCGUAAAGGGUGCGUAGGCGGUUCUGUGUGUCGGGCGUGAAAUCUCGCUGCUCAACGGCGAAACUGCGUCCGAGACUGCGGAACUAGAGUGCAGGAGAGGAAAGCGGAAUUCUUGGUGUAGCGGUGGAAUGCGUUGAUAUCAAGAGGAACACCGGUGGCGAAGGCGGCUUUCUGGAAUGCAACUGACGCUGAGGCACGAAAGUUGGGGGAGCAAACAGGAUUAGAUACCCUGGUAGUCCCAACCGUAAACGGUGCACACUUGGUGUGGGGAGAUUUGACCCUCUCCGUGCCGUAGUCAACACGAUAAGUGUGCCGCCUGGGGAGUACGGCCGCAAGGCUA
This 374-nucleotide ribosomal RNA is filed under the name uncultured prokaryote. RNAcentral's name for it is "bacterial SSU rRNA". It matches the Rfam family "Bacterial small subunit ribosomal RNA", at positions 524 to 896 of the family's 1533-position model. The record is from RNAcentral.